AGUUAGUUGACGAGUCCCAAAUAGGACGAAAUCUGCGUAAUCCUGGAU
Molecule: non-coding RNA, 48 nt
Organism: Trichobilharzia regenti
Lineage: Eukaryota; Metazoa; Platyhelminthes; Trematoda; Strigeidida; Schistosomatidae
Source: Rfam